GACGAACGCUGGCGGCGCGCCUAACACAUGCAAGUCGAACGGAGUUGUGUUGAAAGCUUGCUGGAUAUACAACUUAGUGGCGGACGGGUGAGUAACACGUGAGUAACCUGCCUCUCAGAGUGGAAUAACGUUUGGAAACAGCUGCUAAUACCGCAUAAUGCAACGGAAUCGCAUGACUCUGUUGCCAAAGAUUUAUCGCUCUGAGAUGGCCUCGCGUCUGAUUAGCUAGUUGGCGGGGUAACGGCCCACCAAGGCGACGAUCAGUAGCCGGACUGAGAGGUUGGCCGGCCACAUUGGGACUGAGACACGGCCCAG
Molecule: ribosomal RNA, 315 nt
Filed under: uncultured bacterium
Lineage: Bacteria
Description: bacterial SSU rRNA
Rfam family: Bacterial small subunit ribosomal RNA
Source: RNAcentral